ACGGGUGCGUAACGCGUGGGAAUCUGCCCUUGGGUUCGGAAUAACAGUUAGAAAUGACUGCUAAUACCGGAUGAUGUCUUCGGACCAAAGAUUUAUCGCCCAAGGAUGAGCCCGCGUAAGAUUAGCUAGUUGGUGGGGUAAUGGCCCACCAAGGCGACGAUCUUUAGCUGGUCUGAGAGGAUGAUCAGCCACACUGGGACUGAGACACGGCCCAGACUCCUACGGGAGGCAGCAGUGGGGAAUAUUGGACAAUGGGCGAAAGCCUGAUCCAGCAAUGCCGCGUGAGUGAUGAAGGCCUUAGGGUUGUAAAGCUCUUUUACCAGGGAUGAUAAUGACUGUACCUGGAGAAUAAGCUCCGGCUAACUCCGUGCCAGCAGCCGCGGUAAUACGGAGGGAGCUAGCGUUGUUCGGAAUUACUGGGCGUAAAGCGUACGUAGGCGGUUAUUCAAGUCAGAGGUGAAAGCCCGGGGCUCAACCCCGGAACGGCCUUUGAAACUAGAUAGCUAGAGUCUUGGAGAGGUUAGUGGAAUUCCGAGUGUAGAGGUGAAAUUCGUAGA
Molecule: ribosomal RNA, 557 nt
Filed under: uncultured Novosphingobium sp.
Lineage: Bacteria; Pseudomonadati; Pseudomonadota; Alphaproteobacteria; Sphingomonadales; Sphingomonadaceae
Description: bacterial SSU rRNA
Rfam family: Bacterial small subunit ribosomal RNA
Source: RNAcentral